Non-coding RNA from Rhagoletis zephyria (snowberry fruit fly), 73 nucleotides. The record is from the annotation of a RefSeq genome assembly. Lineage: Eukaryota; Metazoa; Arthropoda; Insecta; Diptera; Tephritidae.
GCUCUGCUAGCUCAAUCGGCAGAGCGUCAGACUCUUAAUCUGAAGGUUGCCAGUUCGAUGCUGGCGCAGAGCU